GGCCUGGCAAGGCUGUGGGAUCCGGGAAGACACAAAAGAUGGGCAACAUCAGAGCCUGCCACUGUGCCGUCGCCGGGGUGAGAAGAGGCCAACAUACCUCAUUACAGAUGGUUAGGAGUCACCAUGCAGUUGCUGGGAAUUGCAUUCUGGACCUUUGGAAGAGCAGCCAGUGCUCUUAACUGGGAGCAUGGUACCAUGCAGACAGACACGGUGCUGGAGCAGAACUGGGGGGUUCACCCUUUGGAUCCAAAUGCAACAGGAAGAGAGAGCCAGAGAGACUGGAUUGGACUUUUGAAACCCCAAAGCCUACCGACAGUGACAUGCUUGCUUUCUCCAACAAGGCCACACCUCCUAAUCCCUUUUAAGUAGUGCCACUCCCUGAUAACCACUCCUCCAAGUAUAUAAGCCUUUGGAAAGAAUUCUUUUUUUUUAAUUUUUAUUUUUUAUAUUAAUUACAUUUUACUCACUUUGCGUCCCAGCUGUAGCCCUUCCCUCAUUCCCUCCCAAUCCCAUCCUCCCUCCCUCAUCUCCUUCCAUGCUCCUCUCCAAGUCCACUGAUAGGGGAUGUCCUUCUCCCCUUCCAUCUGAACCUAGCCUAUCAGAUCUCAUAAGGGCUGUUUGGAUUGUCUUCCUCUGUGGCUGGGUAAGGCUGCUCCUCGUCAGUUAUUCCUUAAGAAUGCUCAUCCAGCUGCUCAGACAUGCCAUCCAUCCCACCAUAUUGUGAGGAAGUACAAAUGAAAACACCUUAAAGAACAACCAUAUUCAAGGCAUUUUGCUUACUGGGUUUGCAAAGAGGAAUUAGGCGGUGUCUUUCAGCUGGACACAGUGUUGCCUGUGUACAUUUGGAAUCACAUUAACCAGAAGAGAUCAGAGGAAUUAAGUGAAUAAAUCACACGUUCUCAUUUGGGUGAUGUGCUUUCUGUUUUCAUUUUUUUAAAUGCUAUUGAUU
Meriones unguiculatus (Mongolian gerbil) is the source of this 949-nucleotide long non-coding RNA. RefSeq lists it as uncharacterized. The record is from RefSeq and is a predicted model, not a curated record. Lineage: Eukaryota; Metazoa; Chordata; Mammalia; Rodentia; Muridae. The transcript has 3 exons.